This is a long non-coding RNA of Canis lupus familiaris (dog), 2960 nucleotides long. RefSeq lists it as uncharacterized. Lineage: Eukaryota; Metazoa; Chordata; Mammalia; Carnivora; Canidae. The transcript has 2 exons. The record is from RefSeq and is a predicted model, not a curated record.
CUGGCAAAGGCUCAGGGCAAAAACCUAUUGAUGGCUUCUCAUUGGCUGGUGGUGGUGCAUUGUCAUCAACCAGAGAAGGCAUGUACUACUGUGUCACUCAGUCUGAUUCAAGAAGCUUUGACUUAGAGCAGUGAUCAGUAACCUCUCAAAUCUCAGGAGCCGAUGCUAGGUGGGUCCCAGGUCCACCUGUCCUGUCCAUGGGGCUCCAGUAGGGGAUGGACUAAACAGCCAAUGGUUUCCUUGGAGUCCAGCAAAGGAGCCAUUAAUGCAGAUGGAAGACCAGGGUCUGAUUGCGGGACAUCUUUUCCAUUCUGGGGCCUCGGAGGGCCUGGGGGCAGGGGGGCUACUGGAGACCACCACCAUUCCACGGCCAGGCAGGGUGUGCUCAGGGGUCAGCCUACAUCCUGUUCUCUCCCCACCCUCCAUGUCCUACCACUGACUGCCCCCCACAGAAGCCACAGGAGCCCAGGGGAUGCAGUCCACGGGGUGGCCGGCCCCCUGGCACAGAGCAGAGAAGGGUACGUGGCAAACAAACCUGGGGAACGGCCAGCUCGCAUUUCCAGAAGGAAGUUGUCCCAGAACCCAGCCUCGGAGCUUGAGUGCAAGAACCCAAAGCCAAACUUGUACUUCUUCCAAGGUUGUGAGUAGCCGACAGGGGAUGGUCCUCCAAGCCACACAGACCUAGGAGUGACUCCUUGCCUUACCCACUCUCCGUGUCCUCGGCGAUCACACGAGGCUAACGAUGUCUGCUGUAUAGGGGAAGGGUAUCGAGGGCUGUGGCGAGGGGACAGGGGCCUGCAACCUGUCUGCCAAAUGACAGGGGUAGGUGAACACGUCCCUCUACUCCACUCUCCUCACCUUGAAGUCCCUCCUGUCCCACCUGUUCUCCAUGUAAAGCCUAGCAGAGCACCUGCCAUAAAAUAUUGACUUCUGGACCCUGCUGGUUUCUGGAAGAGCUUAGGAUUAGGUAACUUGACUGACUCCCGUCUUUGACAGGUACCUUCUGAUCUUCAUGUGCCAGAUGGGGCAUGGUUAGGAUUGGAAGUGUUGAGAAGGUGCCUGGCGUCCGGAGAGCAUUCUGCGAGGGCUGUGGCAGUUACCACUCUGUCCUGAUCCCUAGUAUGAGGCCAGAAUGAAAACCUCCCAUACAGCACAUAGCAAGCUUCCCAAAAGCCUACUAGCUCCAUUCUAUGGAGGAGCCACCUGUGGUCAACGUGGCUCCAGUUCCCCACUCAGCCAAACCCUAAUCCAGGUGCUGCUGGGAAGGGAUUUUGUAGGUGUAAUGAAAGGCCAUAACUGGGUGAUGUCCCCAAGGAAGACCCACCAGCCGUGGACAGCGGCACCAGCCUGCAAUGGAGAAUACCAGUCUGUCCUUCCUGGUGGCUCCCCCCCAGCCCCCAUGGAUUCUAGACUUGCUGAGCCAGAGUUGUGACCUCACAAUUGUGUAAACCAACUCCUUGAGAUAAAUCUCUUCAUGCCUCAGUCUUCCUGGUUCUGCUCUGGUCCAGCACCUGAGCCUCUGAGAGGUUGAGGGACUUGCCUGGGGCUUGCUCAACAAGCGGUGGAGACCCAGGCCCAUCUGACCCCAAGCCCUAUGCAUCUGCUCAAACCGGGAGAGGUCACAAGGCCCAGGAUAAGAGGACACUGGUUAUGCCCCCCCACCAUGUGUCCCAGGGACUUCGUACCUGGCUCCCCCAUCAUACCCAGCACUGCAACCUACACCGUGCAGGUGGUGGAUGUUUAUCCCAAGAAUGGAGGAGCAGCCACUGCUACUGGAAGAUGGGGUUGGAGGAUAGCCCUGCAACUUGAGGGAGCAGGCCCUGUGCCCACUCAGAGAAUCCCUCCGGGAAAAUCCCCUCCCCCCACCUGCUAACACCUUUUACAAGAUGCCACCCACUCCCCCUUCAGAAACUGUCUAUUCCUGGUGUUGCACUGGGGCAUUGUCAUGGCAACGGGACAACACGAGAGGCCAGGCGAGCCGGCUUGUUUCUCUGAUGGUUCUGUGGGGACCUCAUGGUACACAGAGCGGCUAUGCAAGCCGCUGCCAUCUGCUCUGAGCUGGGACUCCAGGCCCCUUCUUCCUUCUCUCCUCACUGGACUCCAUCUCGCCCCAGGCCUGGGACCUUGUCUCCCUGGCACCAGGGCCUAGGAGAAAUGCUGGCCAAGAAGAGCAGAAAACCCAAGUUGAUCCUGACACUGAAGCCUGGAGCUGGGCUGGCCCCACCAGUGCUGGGUGGAAACCUCGGUGCUGCUGCCCGUGAAGCCACCCUGCCGGGUGGGGGGGGUGCUUCCGAGGGGAGCAACCAGAGCUGACCUCCCCCUGCUACCUCAGACCGGAGCUGGAGGGAGCCGACCUUCCUGAAGCUGAGUGGCUAGCAGCAAGGCAGCUGGACCUUCUGGGAGGGCAGGGCAGGGCCCGGGUGCCGCCUCAGGGUGAUGUGUGUCCUGUGUGUCCAAGGUCAACACCCCAUCCCUCAGGGUCCUUCUCCACCCCCGAUCUACCAGUGGGUCUGAGUUGGCACUACCCAGGGGAGUGAGGGCAGAUCCCCCCACCAUCUACAGGGGCAGAGAGAGGUGCAGGGGGCUGUAGGGCUACGCAUUACCAUCCCACCCCCCUCUGCCCCACAGACCCCAGCCUGCGGCCAUGCUAGCUUCUGUCAGCCGGGACCCUGCGGGAGAGGAAUCCAAUUGCUUCUCCUUAACCUUGUGCGUCCUGUGGCAACUCCAGGUCCGUGCAAGGGCAGGGAGAGCCAGCACUGGCUGACCUGGCUGGCCCCAGUCCUCCCUCAAGCUCACCUUUCCCGUAAGAUCUGCCCUGAGCGCCACUCACACAGGCCACCGCCUCCCAUCAGCCUCCGAGCACCCCAGCUCCAGCCCUCUCCUCCUCCGUUCCCUGACCACACCUUCAAACGAAUGGCAUCACUUCUCUGACAUUAUUUCUCAUCCAGUGUUACCUGUAA